AGUGCUCUUGCUUGGUCAUGUGAUGUUUAUUUUUAGAAGAAACUGCCAAACUAUUUCUAGAAUGACUCUACCAUUUUACAUUUCCACAAGCAGU
RNAcentral lists this microRNA precursor (94 nucleotides) under Marmota monax (woodchuck). The record is from RNAcentral. Lineage: Eukaryota; Metazoa; Chordata; Mammalia; Rodentia; Sciuridae.